GCCGGCGCCGCACGCCGGGCGUCCGGCCCCGACCGCGCUCGGAAGCGCCGAGGCCGCUGCACCCGCCCUUUGUUCGAGCCUGCGGCGCGGCCUUCGGGCGACCUGGGGCUCCUGAAGCCUCGCGGCGGCUUCCCGGGUGCGGGUCUGGCCCAGGGAGGCCCCAGAGCUUCCUGGUUCCCGCCGACCCGGGGGGUCCACAUCCUCCUGGGGAGGAACGUGCAGAACGGGAGUAGUCCGGCUUCUUCUUAGAAGGUAGUCUUAUAUUCACUGCUGUCUUUCCAGAACCUAAUACUUCUCGAACCCAGGCCUCAAGACAGCAUACAUCUUCUGCCUUAGCUCUUUCGGGACAUUCUGGUCAUCAUGUAAGGGAGUCCAGACUGGACUGCUGAGUGAGAGACCACAUGGAGAAGAGGCCUAGCCAAGAGAAGCCAAAACCCCUAAUGUGUGAACAAGACCAUUUUAGACUCCCACCCCAUUCGAGCUGCCUGAUGACUGCUGUUAGUAGAAAAACGUUCCAGCUGAUCAGAGCCCAAACUGCUGACCCACACAAUUGCAGGAAAUAAUAAACAGUGGUUGUUUCAAGUAACUAAGUUUUAGGGUGGCUUGUUAAUGCCACAUUAUCACUUAUAUUGUUGUAGUAUCCUUGUAAACCUGUCUUCCUCUACACCCCCCCCUUUAUUCCAUAUGUUCUCCAGGAAGCAGUCAGAAUGAUCUUUUUCAGAUUAAUAUCAGUUUGUUACUCCUGUUUUCAGGACCUUGACUGGCUUCCUCUCUUGUUCAGCAAGAUAUCUAAAAGCCUUAGCACGGCCUUUAAGGCAUUAUGGACUCAUUACUUCAUUACGUCGCUGACAUAAUUUCCUUUCCACUCUUCCUCUAAUUUUAUCUCUAACUUAAGAAAUCUAUUUUCUAUAGACAGAAGUUUGGGAGGGUGUGUUGUCUAAGGGGGGGAGCUCUCCACAUCAUCACCAUGUGGGAUUUUAAGAUUAAUACCUGACACUAUUCCUGUAAGCAUAUAAGCAACACAUUUAGAUACUGCUUAGAUAUGUAGAACAUAUACUUGAACAGAUGGGCAUUACACUUAAAUAACUGAUAUAAUAAAAAAUAAAGGUGACUAGUUUUACGGAGAAUAGAUUCACUUAAAUAGAGAUGCAUAGGUCUUUAAAAAUUAAAAAAAAAGUUUGGUUUUAAAACAUCUCUAUUUUGGCUUUCCCAGUGCUUCAUUUUACUGACUAUUGUGAACUUUGAACCACUCAUUGGAAUCAUAGGAAGAGUUAAUUUUUAUGGAUGUACUAAUUGAACAGCAUAUAAAAACAAACACAAACUUAUUAAAUGUGAAGUCUUCUGGGAAGCUUUUAAAA
Macaca mulatta (Rhesus monkey) is the source of this 1358-nucleotide non-coding RNA. The record is from RefSeq and is a predicted model, not a curated record. NCBI's taxonomy places the organism in Eukaryota, Metazoa, Chordata, Mammalia, Primates, Cercopithecidae.